Molecule: ribosomal RNA, 302 nt
Filed under: uncultured Russula
Lineage: Eukaryota; Fungi; Basidiomycota; Agaricomycetes; Russulales; Russulaceae
Description: eukaryotic LSU rRNA
Source: RNAcentral
AACGCACCUUGCGCCCCUUGGAAUUCCGAGGGGCACACCCGUUUGAGUGUCGUGAACAUCCUUCAACCUUUCUUGGUUUCUCGAUCAAGAAAGGCUUGGACUUUGGAGGUUUUAAUUGCUGGCCUCCCUUGAAGCCAGCUCCUCCUAAAUGGAUUAGUGGGGUCUGCUUUGCGGAACCUUGACGUGAUAAGAUGUUUCUACGUCUUGAGUUUUGCACUGUUGCUUUGGGCCCUGCUUCUAAUCGUCUUCAUGACUCUUGUAACCUUGACCUCAAAUCGGGUGAGACUACCCGCUGAACUUAA